CUACGGGACGCAGCAGUGAGGAAUAUUGCACAAUGGGGGGAACCCUGAUGCAGCAACGCCGCGUGGAGGAUGACGCAUUUCGGUGUGUAAACUCCUUUUAUAUGUCGAGAAAAUGACGGUAGCAUAUGAAUAAGCACCGGCUAACUCCGUGCCAGCAGCCGCGGUAAUACGGAGGGUGCAAGCGUUACUCGGAAUCACUGGGCGUAAAGGACGCGUAGGCGGGUUGGAAAGUCAGGUGUGAAAUCCUACAGCUUAACUGUAGAACUGCACUUGAAACUGCUAAUCUAGAGUAUGGGAGGGGGAGAUGGAAUUAGUGGUGUAGGGGUAAAAUCCGUAGAUAUCACUAGGAAUACCUAAAGCGAAGGCGAUCUCCUGGAACAUUACUGACGCUAAGGCGUGAAAGCGUGGGGAGCAAACAGGAUUAGAUACCCGCGUAGUC
RNAcentral lists this ribosomal RNA (439 nucleotides) under uncultured bacterium. RNAcentral describes it as "partial 16S ribosomal RNA". It matches the Rfam family "Bacterial small subunit ribosomal RNA", at positions 339 to 795 of the family's 1533-position model. The record is from RNAcentral.